AUUGAACGCUGGCGGCAUGCCUUACACAUGCAAGUCGAACGGUAACAGGGAGCUUGCUCCGCUGACGAGUGGCGAACGGGUGAGUAAUAUAUCGGAACGUACCUUUGAGUGGGGGAUAACUAGUCGAAAGACUAGCUAAUACCGCAUACGAUCUACGGAUGAAAGUGGGGGCUCGCAAGACCUCAUGCUCAUAGAGCGGCCGAUAUCUGAUUAGCUAGUUGGUGAGGUAAAGGCUCACCAAGGCAUCGAUCAGUAGCUGGUCUGAGAGGACGACCAGCCACACUGGGACUGAGACACGGCCCAGACUCCUACGGGAGGCAGCAGUGGGGAAUUUUGGACAAUGGGGGCAACCCUGAUCCAGCAAUGCCGCGUGAGUGAAGAAGGCCUUCGGGUUGUAAAGCUCUUUUGUCAGGGAAGAAACGGGGGAUCCUAAUACGGUCCCCUAAUGACGGUACCUGAAGAAUAAGCACCGGCUAACUAC
RNAcentral lists this ribosomal RNA (481 nucleotides) under Collimonas fungivorans. RNAcentral's name for it is "bacterial SSU rRNA". It matches the Rfam family "Bacterial small subunit ribosomal RNA", at positions 30 to 504 of the family's 1533-position model. The record is from RNAcentral. Lineage: Bacteria; Pseudomonadati; Pseudomonadota; Betaproteobacteria; Burkholderiales; Oxalobacteraceae.